AACGAACGCUGGCGGCAUGCCUAACACAUGCAAGUCGAACGAGACCUUCGGGUCUAGUGGCGCACGGGUGCGUAACGCGUGGGAACCUGCCCUUAGGUUCGGAAUAACUCCCCGAAAGGGGUGCUAAUACCGGAUAAUGUCUUCGGACCAAAGAUUUAUCGCCUUUGGAUGGGCCCGCGUUGGAUUAGCUAGUUGGUAGGGUAAAAGCCUACCAAGGCGACGAUCCAUAGCUGGUCUGAGAGGAUGAUCAGCCACACUGGGACUGAGACACGGCCCAGACUCCUACGGAGGCAGCAGUGGGGAAUAUUGGACAAUGGGCGAAAGCCUGAUCCAGCAAUGCCGCGUGAGUGAUGAAGGCCUUAGGGUUGUAAAGCUCUUUUACCCGGGAUGAUAAUGACAGUACCGGGAGAAUAAGCUCCGGCUAACUCCGU
This 431-nucleotide ribosomal RNA is filed under the name uncultured bacterium. RNAcentral's name for it is "partial 16S ribosomal RNA". It matches the Rfam family "Bacterial small subunit ribosomal RNA", at positions 29 to 506 of the family's 1533-position model. The record is from RNAcentral.